GGACUAAUAUGUCGGUCGUGCCUCGGUACGAACUGGUUUACUGGUCUCUCCUUUCUGAAGAACCAUGAUGUCAUUUAUCUGGUGUCGUGGGGAAUCAGGACUGUUACUUUGGAAAAAAAUUAGAGUGUUUAAAGCAGGCUCACGCUUGAAUACAUUAGCAUGGAAUAAUGAAAUAGGACGUUUGAUUCUAUUUUGUUGGUUUCUAGGAUCGACGUAAUGAUU
RNAcentral lists this ribosomal RNA (222 nucleotides) under uncultured Glomeromycotina. Its description in RNAcentral is "partial 18S ribosomal RNA". The stretch from base 37 to 222 matches the Rfam family "Eukaryotic small subunit ribosomal RNA", at positions 685 to 870 of the family's 1831-position model. The record is from RNAcentral. Lineage: Eukaryota; Fungi; Glomeromycota.